CUCCACCACCACCAUCACCACCGCCGCCGCCUCCUCCACCUCCCUCUCCUUCACCAAGUGAAUGUGGGGACUUUUCUUAUUGUCCAAGUGAUGAGACAUGCUGUUGCAUUUUUGAAUUCUGUGAUUUCUGCCUGGUCUAUGGUUGCUGUCCUUACGAGAAUGCUGUUUGCUGCACUGGCACCGAAUAUUGUUGCCCCAGUGAUUACCCCAUUUGUGAUGUUGAUGAAGGGCUCUGCCUCCAGAGCCAAGGAGAUUACCUGGGAGUGGCUGCAAAGAAGCGACAUAUGGCUAAGCACAAGUUCCCCUGGAGCAAGCUAGAUGAAAGAAAACAAGAGAGAACAUAUCAACCUCUCCAGUGGAAGAGGAACCCUUUCGCUGCGAUUCGCUAAAGAAAUUGUGAUCCCUUAAGAAUUUGAAGGUCGUGUGAUUGCAAGUCUUUGUUAUUUUAUUUGUCGCCCAGGCAGGCAUUCAGUCAUCCUGAUUCCUGCUACAAACAUGUGGUUGAUUGGCAUUUAAAAUGUCUGUAGCAGGCAAACGCAGGAAAAGAAGAGACUAAUAAAAGGGGAAAUUUGGGUAGGUGUUGAAUUUGGAUGGUCUUCUGGAGACAAAUAUUUUAUUUUAUUUUAUUUUAUUUUAUU
RNAcentral lists this unclassified non-coding RNA (638 nucleotides) under Hevea brasiliensis (rubber tree). The record is from RNAcentral. Lineage: Eukaryota; Viridiplantae; Streptophyta; Magnoliopsida; Malpighiales; Euphorbiaceae.